ACAAAAGUCAACUACUGCUGAGGCAUGGGCUUAAUAAAUGUUGACUAAAAUAUCCAACUCAGCAACCAAUCCUGUAUAAUUUUCAAACUGUCAGUAACUUGCUGGGGACGACCUACGGACCUUGGCCAUGUGACGGAUGAAGAAAUGCACUCAGACACAGACCCCCUAUGAAAGACCAUGUUUCUUCUCAGCCUGCUCAGUCCAGCUGAGCCAGCUUUCCACUGGCUCCUGAAUGUGAGGACACAGGCUCCCAGGACCAUCCAGAAGCAAGUAUCUCUCAUUACCUUAAAGCUCUGAAAUACUAGCUGGGUACAGAGGCUCAUGCCUGUAAUCCCAACACAUUCAGAGGCUGAAGUGGGAGGAUCGCUUGAAGCCAGUAGUUCAAGACCAGCCUAGGCAGCAUAGCAAGACCCCAUCUCUACAAAAAGUACACCCCAAAAUUAGCUGGGUGGGAUUACAUGCCUGUAGUCUCAAUUAAUUGGGAGGCUGAGGCGGGACUAUCCCUUGAACCCAUAAGUUUGAGGCUACAGUGAGCUAUGAUCACACCACUGCACUCCAGCCUGGGAGACAGAUUGAGACCAUCUCUAAAACAACAACAGGCUGGCACAGUAGCUCAUGCCUGUAAUCCCAGCAUUUUGGAAUGCCAAAGUGGGUGGAUCACCUGAGGUCAGAAGUUCGAGACCAGCCUGGGCAACCUGGUGAAAUCCUGUCUCUACUAAAAAUACAAAAAAUUAGCAGGGCGUGGUGGCAGGCGCCUAUAAUCCCAGCUACUCAGGAGGCUGAGGCAGGAGAAUUGCUUGCACCCAGGAGGAGGAGACUGCAGUGAGCUGAGAUCACGCCAUUGCACUCCAGUCUGGGCAACAAGAGCAAAAUUUUGUCUCAAAAAAAUAAAAAAUAUAUAUAUAUAAAAAAAAAACAACAAAAAACAAGGAGACACAGAAAACUGAAAUAUUUUAAGUUUCAUUUUAUUAUUGCUUGUUAGUUGAUUAAAGUAAUUCUGCUUCCACUUACUUUAUUUUUAAAGACAGUAAUUGCUACACUGAAUAAAACCUUAAUGAAGUUUCA
Molecule: long non-coding RNA, 1065 nt
Organism: Rhinopithecus roxellana (golden snub-nosed monkey)
Lineage: Eukaryota; Metazoa; Chordata; Mammalia; Primates; Cercopithecidae
Exons: 2
Source: RefSeq, a predicted model, not a curated record